UAUCCCAGCAACCAGAAAAGAAGCUAACACAGUGCCUCCAGGUCAAGGACAAACUUCUUCGAGGAGGUCUGAGCAUAGAGGGUUUGCAUAUCUGUCACGAUGCCUGGGACGGAGAGAAAGAACUACAAACAACUUAGAUACAGCAGUGAUUCAAGGUUGUCAGGUCUAGGAAUUCCUGAAUUAAGCAGGUGACCCACCCAGCUGCCGGAGCAGUCAAGUCGAGGACCUCCAAGAGAAGCUAGACAACUUCCACCGGAACUCAGCCCGGAGUCUGGGGGGAAGGGUUUGCCCAAACUGUUAAAAGGUCUGGCGCCAUUAAAGUUUCUGGCU
This is a long non-coding RNA of Apodemus sylvaticus (European woodmouse), 330 nucleotides long. RefSeq lists it as uncharacterized. The record is from RefSeq and is a predicted model, not a curated record. The transcript is spliced from 3 exons. Lineage: Eukaryota; Metazoa; Chordata; Mammalia; Rodentia; Muridae.